AUUGAUUUUUUUUAUUUUUGAUUUGAGGUAGGAGAAUGCAAAGUUCUUCAUGCCCAAAUCGACACGUUUUAACGUUGCCUUUUUCUUUCGAGAAGGGGGUAAAUAACCUGUGCGAUAACAUGCUGUUGUUUUGAUUUCUUUGUUUGCCUCUUGGUUUUUUUGAUCAUGAGGUGAAUUUCAAAGAUUCAAAAUUAUAUAAAACAUUUUAUUUUUAUUUUUUAUCCACAUUCUUGAUGAAAGAAUAUA
This 246-nucleotide unclassified non-coding RNA is filed under the name soil metagenome. RNAcentral's name for it is "partial internal transcribed spacer 1". The record is from RNAcentral.